Molecule: ribosomal RNA, 389 nt
Filed under: uncultured bacterium
Lineage: Bacteria
Description: bacterial SSU rRNA
Rfam family: Bacterial small subunit ribosomal RNA
Source: RNAcentral
GACGAACGCUGGCGGCGUGCUUAACACAUGCAAGUCGAGCGGUAAGGCCCUUUCGGGGGUACACGAGCGGCGAACGGGUGAGUAACACGUGGGUGACCUGCCCUCAGCUCUGGGAUAAGCCUGGGAAACCGGGUCUAAUACUGGAUAUGACUCCAUGACGCAUGUUGUGGGGUGGAAAGCCUUGUGCGGCUGAGGAUGGGCCCGCGGCCUAUCAGCUUGUUGGUGGGGUGANGGCCUACCAAGGCGACGACGGGUAGCCGGCCUGAGAGGCGACCGGCCACACUGGGACUGAGACACGGCCCAGACUCCUACGGGAGGCAGCAGUGGGGAAUCUUGCGCAAUGGGCGAAAGCCUGACGCAGCGACGCCGCGUGAGGGAUGACGGCCUGG